AUUCCAGCAGGGCCCCAGUCAGGGAGCAAGUGCAGCCUCCCCAGACCCGCUAGGACCAUGGCUCUCCUCCAGAGUCAAGACACGGACCUUCAAGACUUACUGCUUUUUGCUUGGAGACUUUAACCUUGAAAGUCAGGCAGCAGGAGUUUGAUGGGUACAGGCUGCCUCCUCUGGGGUCUCUCAUCACCUGAUCUUGACCUGUGAGAAUGGUACGCUGCAAGGAGGUAUGUGUGGAAGAUUCCAAGAAGACGACCAACUGAGUGGAAUGAGAUGCUUGUUUUCAUGGAUCAGAAAUGAAUCACGUUGCCUUCUUUCAGUCAUGACACAGAGUUCUGGAGUCUUGGGAAAGAAACAACAGGAGGAAGGGUGCAGCUCAGGGGUAGAGCUCAUACUUAGAAUGCACGAGGUCCUGGGUUCAAGCCCCAGUACCUCCAUUAAAAAAAUAAACAAACCUAAUUACCUCCCCCCCAAAAAAAAUUUUAAAAGAAAACAAUUCUAAAAUAAUUUUAAAAAUUAAAAAAAAAAAGAAACAACAGGAAGAAAAUGUUUUCUGGUAGAGAUCUGUGGGAGGAAUAAAGGCUCCUGAAUGGAGAACUGAGAUCAGGAGAGAGAGAUGGACUGUGGCUGGACUAUUGAAGGACAAUGAAGUGUCGUGCUGGUUUACACCCAGGUGCUAUUCAUACCUGGUGCUGUUUCCAAACGUCCUCCAGGCAUCCAUCCUGCUCCAGGUCUUCAGAAAAACAGGUGAACAGCGGGGUGCAUGGAAGGGAGGCUGAAGGCAAAUAAGGGGGUAUUACGCCCAGCUCUGAAAAUAAAACGUUAUUGGCUCCAGUCUGAAACGGUCACUUUCCACCGAGAUGGAAUAUAUUACUCAGAAGAGAGAAACACCAGAUAUUAUGCAGUCUGCCUUUGGGGAAAGAAAAAAAAAAACCGCCCACCUCUUAUAAAAACACUUUUUGGGGGAUGAAGGAUUUGAUUUCAACGGAUGAGUCAUCACUGUGUUUUUUUUCUUACCACUUAGCCAAAAAAGUGAAGUUUUUAAAAAAGCAUUUCUUGAAGCAAAAU
Non-coding RNA from Vicugna pacos (alpaca), 1065 nucleotides. Lineage: Eukaryota; Metazoa; Chordata; Mammalia; Artiodactyla; Camelidae. The record is from RefSeq and is a predicted model, not a curated record.